GAGGGUAUAGCUGAGUGGUAGAGUGUGUGUCUAGCAUGCAGAAGGUCCUAGAUUCAAUUCCUAGUAUCUCCA
RNAcentral lists this transfer RNA (72 nucleotides) under Camelus bactrianus (Bactrian camel). It matches the Rfam family "tRNA". From Rfam's summary of the family: Transfer RNA (tRNA) molecules are approximately 80 nucleotides in length. Their secondary structure includes four short double-helical elements and three loops (D, anti-codon, and T loops). Further hydrogen bonds mediate the characteristic L-shaped molecular structure. tRNAs have two regions of fundamental functional importance: the anti-codon, which is responsible for specific mRNA codon recognition, and the 3' end, to which the tRNAs corresponding amino acid is attached (by aminoacyl-tRNA synthetases). tRNAs cope with the degeneracy of the genetic code in two manners: having more than one tRNA (with a specific anti-codon) for a particular amino acid; and 'wobble' base-pairing, i.e. permitting non-standard base-pairing at the 3rd anti-codon position. RNAcentral also lists the same sequence under 3 other names. The record is from Rfam by way of RNAcentral. Lineage: Eukaryota; Metazoa; Chordata; Mammalia; Artiodactyla; Camelidae.